Molecule: long non-coding RNA, 432 nt
Organism: Drosophila gunungcola (fruit fly)
Lineage: Eukaryota; Metazoa; Arthropoda; Insecta; Diptera; Drosophilidae
Exons: 4
Source: RefSeq, a predicted model, not a curated record
CACAAAUAAAAAGAAUUAUUUGACUUGAGUUUUAAUUUAAUUAAUGCGUUUUAAAUAUUAUUUUCGUUUAAUUCCAGAAAAACUAUUUCAAAACAAAAGUUUGGACUUACAUCUACAUACAAGUAGUGUUUUUUAGGGUGGACCUAAGAACACAAAUUAAGUGAACAAAAAUAUCUUCAGUAGGAUAUUAAGUCCAAGUUUGAUAAUGGAGCUUAAUUAUGACGGUACUAGGGACAGGGAAGGUUUUGCGUCCUACAUUCAUUUAAAUGAAACAUUAUUCGAGUCACAAAGAAGAGACGGUUACCGCUUCACAGACCAUUUUAAAGACCUUCGACUGGCCUUCACUAGGGCCAAAAAUAAAACUUAUAAGGGUAAAAGUAUGGCCAAAAAGAUGAGAGAGGACGAAAACGGCCAGGAGUAAUACAAUAAGUU